RNAcentral lists this ribosomal RNA (760 nucleotides) under Chloroflexota bacterium. RNAcentral describes it as "bacterial SSU rRNA". It matches the Rfam family "Bacterial small subunit ribosomal RNA", at positions 1 to 778 of the family's 1533-position model. The record is from RNAcentral. Lineage: Bacteria; Bacillati; Chloroflexota.
UUUGUCGGAGAGUUUGAUUCUGGCUCAGGACAAACGCUGGCGGCGUGCAUAAAACAUGCAAGUCGAACGAACCAAAGCCCGCAAGGGCUGAGGUGAGUGGCGAACGGCUGAGUAACACGUAGGUGACCUGCCCCGAAGUGGGGGACAACUCGUCGAAAGACGAGCUAAUACCGCAUGUGAUCACUGAUUCACUUCAGUGCUCAAAGUCGCAAGACGCUUUGGGAGGGGCCUGCGGCCGAUUAGCUAGUUGGUGGGGUAAUGGCCUACCAAGGCUGCGAUCGGUAGUUGGUCUGAGAGGAUGACCAGCCAGACUGGGACUGAGACACGGCCCAGACUCCUACGGGAGGCAGCAGUUAGGAAUUUUGUGCAAUGGGGGAAACCCUGACACAGCCACGCCGCGUGCGGGAUGAAGGCCUUCGGGUCGUAAACCGCUUUUCUCGAGGAAGACACCCGACGGUACUCGAGGAAUAAGCAACGGCUAACUACGUGCCAGCAGCCGCGGUAAUACGUAGGUUGCGAGCGUUGUCCGGAUUUACUGGGCGUAAAGCGCGCGCAGGCGGUUUCGAAAGUCCACGGUGAAAGCUCCCGGCCCAACUGGGAGAGGCCCGUGGAAACUCCGGAACUUGAAGGCAGGAGAGGCAGAUGGAAUUUCCGGUGUAGCGGUAAAAUGCGUAGAUACCGGAAGGAACACCAGUGGCGAAGGCGAUCUGCUGGCCUGUUCUUGACGCUCAGGCGCGAAAGCUAGGGGAGCGACCGGGAU